GACGAACGCUGGCGGCGUGCUUAACACAUGCAAGUCGAGCGGUAAGGCCCUUUCGGGGGUACACGAGCGGCGAACGGGUGAGUAACACGUGGGUGACCUGCCCUCAGCUCUGGGAUAAGCCCGGGAAACUGGGUCUAAUACCGGAUAUGACUCCAUGACGCAUGUUGUGGGGUGGAAAGCCUUGUGCGGCUGAGGAUGGGCCCGCGGCCUAUCAGCUUGUUGGUGGGGUGAUGGCCUACCAAGGCGACGGACGGGUAGCCGGCCUGAGAGGGCGACCGGCCACACUGGGACUGAGACACGGCCCGGACUCCUACGGGAGGCAGCAGUGGGGAAUCUUGCGCAAUGGGCGAAAGCCUGACGCAGCGACGCCGCGUGAGGGAUGACGGCCU
This 389-nucleotide ribosomal RNA is filed under the name uncultured bacterium. RNAcentral's name for it is "bacterial SSU rRNA". It matches the Rfam family "Bacterial small subunit ribosomal RNA", at positions 28 to 417 of the family's 1533-position model. The record is from RNAcentral.